GUUCGAGGCCAGCCAGCAUCAAUAUCCCUUGCCCCCCGAGUGAAGAUGANGGGACCAUGCCCAGCGGCAGUUUUAUCAUCAUCUCCCAGAGAGAGCUGCCUCAGAUCCCCUCCGCGGAUCAGCUCUCCCUCGGACUAACUUACUCAAACCUGAAUUUCCCGGCUCAAGUGCANGAGAUCCUGUAUGAAUCAGUGGCAGUGACGAGAGAUGCCAAUGAAGAACGCAGCGGGGCGGAGGGUGUCCCUAGGGAUGAAGAGGAUGGGGCAGCAGGAGUCAAGUACGCCUGUGUGCUGAAGGGGAAAAAGAAGAAGAACCAAACCGGAUCAGAGCCGGGGGCCUCCCAGGCAACAGAAGAGCCGGCUUCACCAUCCAAGGCCGUUCAGGUUGAGGAAAUGUAUUCCGUAGUGUGCAAGGACCGGAAGAAGAAAGCCAAAGGUUCUGACCAAUGCAGUGAGGAGAAAGGGCUCCACNUGGAGAAGAGGCAAGGGAACUGCCACGUGGGAACUGUCCAUCAGGAGCAGGACAAGAGGGCCAGGCACCAGCCCCCGGUGCCCCCCCCUCCCAUUGUGGAACCCUGCUAUGAGGCCGUCAGCAGCGAAUCCUGGGCGAGCUCUGGCCGGAAACCGUCCACGGAACCCGCUUACGAGACAGUAGAUACCUUCUGGAAAAGCAAAAGCCAUAAAGCCAAGCCCAGCAAGAACGUGCAGGCCGAAAAUCUGUAUGAAAGCAUCGAAAACUUGUCGUGUCGCCUGCCAGCUCAAAAGCUCCCCCCUUAUUUUGGAGUCUAACUCUCCCCCCCCCCCCCGGCCUUUGCUCCAAUCUGAACGCAGAGAUCGCUUUUGUUCUGAAUCCAGGAUAACAUUUGCUCGGUGUUACUGGGCAGCAGCACUCCGGGCUAGCAAUGCUCUCUAGUCCACAAGGAACGCCAGCAGUAGUAGCCGAUAUGGGGAAACACAGCUAGAAGCUCCUCCCCCUGAUGAGCCUCGAACCAGCGCUCAGCAGGGAGACGAGCUUCCGGCUGUGCUUCGCUCUGCUGGCUGCUACUGGCCGUAACCCUGGUGGCUUUCAGGACCUUCCCAACUCUGGCCCCCAACUUCAGUUCCAAGGAUGCCCAACGGUUGCCCCAGGNCCGUCAGAGUGCAGUAGGAGCUGCAGUUCAGGAACCUCUGCAGGGGUGACGUUGAGCGCCCCUGCUGUACUCCCUCAGUCCUAGGACANAGGGCACAGCCAAGGGAAGCCUGCGUCUCUUUCGAAGCAAACACAUCUGCGAGAGGAAGACAAGGGGCCUGUUCGCACUGAGCUCNGUAGUCCGUUCCCAGUAGUUGGCUUCGGGCCGGAGGGGUUGGAGAACGCUGGCUGCCCUUCGCACUCCCAGCCAGAGGAACGGACCCAAAGCCGACCAGCAGAGGGAACAGUGUGAAUGGCAGCCGCUAGUUCCAUACCGCACUCCGUACCAUCGAGCUCCGCUUCGUACCAUCGUACUCCGCUUCGUAACCAGACGGCUCCUUAUGGAGCCGGCUUCGUAACGGCAGUUAGGCUGCCAUGCCCAAACGGCUAUCCCGGGCACGAAGCACCAGACCAGGGUAUGAAGCACUGGACCGGGGUGUGAAGCUUCGUACCACGCAUGCGCAGCCGCGCCAGCCCCGCCCGGCCGCCAUUUCAAACGCCGACGGGAGUGCGAAAGCACCAUGCCCGAUCUUCGCUCCAUCGUGCAGGUCGGGANGAAGACAUCUUUUUUGUUGUCUUGCCUUAUCCAACAUCGGGUUCGAAUCGGGUACGGAGUGGUUC
Salvator merianae (Argentine black and white tegu) is the source of this 1788-nucleotide long non-coding RNA. The record is from Ensembl. Lineage: Eukaryota; Metazoa; Chordata; Lepidosauria; Squamata; Teiidae.